Molecule: ribosomal RNA, 246 nt
Filed under: uncultured bacterium
Lineage: Bacteria
Description: partial 16S ribosomal RNA
Rfam family: Bacterial small subunit ribosomal RNA
Source: RNAcentral
GUAGGUAACCUGCCUUGUAGCGGGGGAGUAACUAUUGGAAACGAUAGCUAAUACCGCAUAACAAUGGAUGACACAUGUCAUUUAUUUUGAAAGGGGGCAAUUGCUCCACUACAAGAUGGACCUGCGUUGUAUUAGCUAGUAGGUGAGGUAAUGGCUCACCUAGGCGACGAUACAUAGCCGACCUGAGAGGGUGAUCGGCCACACUGGGACUGAGACACGGCCCAGACUCCUACGGGAGGCAGCAUG